Molecule: non-coding RNA, 15786 nt
Organism: Rattus norvegicus (Norway rat)
Lineage: Eukaryota; Metazoa; Chordata; Mammalia; Rodentia; Muridae
Source: RefSeq, a predicted model, not a curated record
GGGAAGGGGCGCGCCGGGGAGGCCGGGCCGCUGCCGCUGCAUUCAUUGGUUCCAGCAGCUGUUCGUCGACGCAAGGCCCCGCCCCCGCCUCCCGCGCUGCCCCGCCCCGUCUCGUGCGGAGCACACCGGAAGGAAGAGGGAGUGAAGGACCACGCCCUACAUUGAGUCUGUGAUGAAUCCCUAUCAACACAAGGAAAAGGUUUAUGAAGCCCAUUCCUCACUCCAUUGCUCUCUGGAGACAGGGAAGUUACCCUCCCUCUCCCUACUGCCCAUCCUGGCAACAGUGGGAACUGCCCCUUCCCAUUUGCCACUUUCCUCAUCAGAGCCCGGCCACUGUAGAGCUGACCAGUGUGGCUCUGCAGAGCUUGCUUGCUUUUAACAAUAAACAGUGACACUACCAAGGGGGCACCAGGGGCUCACACAGGGUUAUAGCUCUGUCUCCUUACUCUGCACCGAAUAUCACCCACACCACCGCUUCUUCCAUGUCUCAUGAGCUCGUGAUGGCGCUGAGGGUAAGCUGCGGUUCAGAGUGGCCCUCCCACAUGCUCCUAGCUAGUUGGCAUUCAGGGCUGUGCUGUGGUCCUUGUUCAGGAUGAUGCUGACAAUCUCCCCCUCAUGUUCCUUCAUGUGAUCCAGGAGGCUCUCCUUGCUGGUUGACUCAAAGCCACAGAUGCAGCAGCAGAAGAGCAACACGCAGUACUCAGUGCCUGGAGUAGCCAAGCUGCAGCUCCUUCCUGAGAUGUCAGAGCUGCUGCCUGUGGGGUUCAGUUUCUCAAGUUCGCUGGCGUCGAUACCGUCACCAGGCAGUUGGGAACUGAGCUCCGAGGAGGACACCAAGUUUUCUGGACUGCCUGUGGUAGGGCCAGUUCUCUCUUCACUGCUGGUUAAGAGCGGUUUCCCACGGGAUUUCCCCAGAACUCUUAUAAAAACAGAACAUAUCAGACUUUCAGUGGGUUUUGCUGUAGGGCUAGGAGACGCUCCCUACCUUGCUCUAUACCAAGCCAUCAAGUGAAGGGUGGAAUGACGUACCUGCCACUUUGUGAGAUUGCAUCGUUGAUGGCCUUGUUAACUUGCUCAUAGUUGUAGUUCUGGUCACUUGCAUGUUUCCACAUGUGUGACUUCAAGGAAGGGGGGUGGCUGCACACAUACCCACACAAGGAGCACCUGGAAGAUAGGCACCAAGGAAAUUACAACCAUCUCCCAACACUAGUAAAAAUUCAGAGUGGUUUUAUGCAAGAGCCAUAAACUUUGCUGGGUAAGUGCCUCUCUGAGACAAAUGGAGACAACCACAGAAGACCCGAACUGGACACAUCCACACCCUAGCUCCUGCACCUAUGGCUCAGGGAAUGUCACAGGAGAGGAAGGAAAUGCUAAGAGCCAGAAGAUCAGGAAGGCUUGGGAAACGGCCUCUCCUAGACAGAGCUCCAGGCAGCUGAUGACCGCUGAGAAGGGGGAGACUUCAGUGAGGAAGGAGUCUCCGUUCACUAGCUGUCCACUGUAGGGUGGUCAGGCCUGUGAGCACGUCCACAUAAACAACGCAACAGGCUCAGCAAGCUGUAUUUUUAGACAUCUGUACACACACACACACACACACACACAUACACACAUGAAUGAUUAUCAAAGAAAAUGGGGCUGCGGACUUGAGUGGAGGAGAACAUGGGAGAGUGAGAGGGAGGACAGAUGGGAGGCACUUAGGGAGGAAAGGGAGGAGGGAAAGUGAUAUAAUGGUGUUUAAACAAAAAACAUAUUAAAAAUAAAUUUUAAAAAUUCCCAGUGAUUCUGUAACCAUAACCCCUAAGCAUUCUGAGUUGGCCUACCAUUCACUGAAUGUAAAUUAUCACUGGUUCUAAGGCACAGAUUUCACAGAGGUUCUAGAAAAAGUGUAAACAAGAAAAGAAAACCAAGGGAAGGAGAUCUUUUAUAAUAUAAAGAUUUUUCUAGUACUCUAACAGCCAUCUUACUUUAGCUAAAAUACAUGAUGUGGAAAGAUUUCUAACAUAGUAAUAUACAAAAGUUUUGUUUUGUAUAUUACUAUGUUAUCACCCCUUCCCCCCCGCCCCCAUCAAGGUUUCUCUGUAUAUUCAUGGAUGUCUCAGAACUCGCUCUGUAGACCAGUCUAGCCUAGAACUUGGGAGAUCUUUUUCUGCUUGCCUUAAUCUGGGAUUAAAGGUAUGUAUCACCAUAGCCUGGCUUGUCCAAAAUUCUUUAACUAUGGGUAUAAUGAUCUAUUCUGUUAACAAGAAAGCAAAAAGCAGAGCUGGGAGCUGGGGAGAUUAAGUUAAGAACACUGGCUGCUCUAGUGGAGGACCCAGGAUAGAUUCCCAGUAUCUACAUGGGAGAUCACAAUCACCUUUAACUCCAGCUUCAGGACACCCAAUGUCCAUUCGGGUAUACCUAGUGACCUUCAUAUGGCACUGCAAACGUGUGGCUCACAAAAAUACAUGCAGGACACUCAUACACAUAAAUUAAAUAAAAACAUACAGAUACAGAGGGGGUAGGGAGGAAGGAGAGAGGGAGGGGGCAUGAGUGAGCGAGCGCUGAGCUGGAGAGAUGGUUCAGCCUUCCACAAAUAAGUCAGCCACCAGGUGGGAUCUGGUCCUCUGAAGGAGCAGCCAGUGCUUUUCACUGUUUUGCCAGCCUUCCAGUCCCAACUUCUGUUUGAAGUAAUCUGAACACCUUGCAUUAGUAUGAUUUGUUACAAUUCUAAACAGUUUAAAGUGGUACUUAGAGCUUGCCUAAUUUCUGCUUAGAAUUAGAAAAAUAUACAGUUUUGUGCAUCCCACUGUAGUAUCAUGUUGAGGAGCACCUCAAAGUCCUCUGUGCUCUGCCUAGUCACCCCUCUCUCCUGCUUCAACUCCUGGCAACCACCAACUCAUCUUGUUUUCUGACACAGGGUCCCUCCCAAGUACAUUUGGCUGGCUGGCCAGCUCUGCCUACAGGAAGCCACCAGUCUCUGCCCUCAGUAUGUAGAUUACAAACACCACCAUGUCCUUUUAGUUUGUUCUUUUUUGAGUUCUGGAGAUGUGACUCAGAUCAUCAUGUCUGCUCAGAAGCACUUUCCUGACUGAGAUACCUAACCAGCUUGCUUCCAGAGUUUGCUAUUAUGGAAAAAAUAACUAUAAACAUGUGGAUACAGGUUUUCUGGGAAUAAAUGUUUUUAUAACAUAGCAAAAUACCUGUCUAUAAUUUCCAGGUUGUAUUGUAUAACUAUGACCUUUUUGGAAGCCAAAAAUGUACCCAAUCACACACCUAACAAAGCAGACCACUCAGCUCUUCUCUAUACUCAUGAGACAGGGCUGGCAAGACCGGCACAGGUCUGAAUUAACUUGUAUCCUAACUGAUCCCAGCUUACCUUUAAGACCGCAGUUUUUAGUUUUGUUGAAUAUAGGCUUUUGUAGUAGGAUCUGAAUUUUUUUGGAUUUCCUCAGUUUCUAUUAUAUCUCCUUUUUCAUUUCUGAUUUUGUUAAUUUGGAUACUGUCUCUUUCCCCUUUGGCUAAGAGGUUUAUCUAUCUUGUUGAUUUUCUCAAAGAACCAGCUCCUUGUUUUAUUGAUUCUUUGUAUAGUUCUUUUUGUUUCUACUUGGUCGGUAUCAACUCUGAGUUUGAUUAUUUUCUGCUGUCUAUUCCUUUUGGGUGUAUUUGCUUCUUUUUGUUCUAGAGCUUUCUGGCGGGCUGACAAGCCGCUAGUGUAUGCUCUCUCCAGUUAUGUUUUGGAGGCACUCAGAGCUACGAGUUUUCUUCUUAGCACUGUUUCGUUGUAUCCCAUUAAGUUUGAGUAUAUUAUGCCUUCAUUUUCAUUAAAUUCUAAAAAGUCUUUAAUUUCUUUAUUUCUUCCUUGACCAAGUUAUUGAGUAGAGCAUUGUUCAGCUUCCAUGUGUAUGUGGGCUUUCUAUCAUUUUUGUUGUUAUUGAAGACCAGCCUUAGUCCAUGGUGAUCUGAUAGGAUGUAUGGGAUUAUUUGUAUCUUCUUGUACCUGUUGAGGUCUAUUUUGUGAUCGAUUAUAUGGUCAAGUUUGGAGAAGGUACCAUAAGAUGCUGAGAGGAAAGUAUUCAUUUUUGUUUUAGAAUGAAACGUUCUAUAGAUAUCUGUAAAUCUAUUUAAUUCAUAACUUGUGUUAGUUUUGCCAGGUCUCUGUUUAGUUUCUGUUUCCAUGAUCUGUCCAUUGGUGAGAAUGGGGUGUUUAAGUCACCCAUUAUCAUUAUGUGAGGUACAAUGUGUAGUUUGAGCUUUAGUAAGGUGCUUUUAUGAUUGUGGGUGCCUUUGCAUUUGGAACAUAGAUUUAGAAUUGAGAGUUCAUCUUGGUGGAUUUUUCUUUGACAAGUAGGAAGUGUUCUGCCUGAUCUAUUUUGAUAACUUUUGGUUGAAAGUCAAUUUUACUUGAUAUUAGAAUGGCUACUCCAGCUUGUUUCUUGGGAACAUUUGCAUGGAAAAUUUUUCCUAGCCUUUUACUCUGAGAAAGUUAUCUGUCUUUGUCACUGAGGUGCGUUUCCUGUAUGCAGCAAAAUGCUGGGUCCUCUUUACGUAUCCAGUCUGUUAGUCUAUGUCUUUUUACUGGGGAAUUGAGUCCACUGAUGUUAAGAGAUAUUAAGGAACAGUGAUUGUGGUUUCCUGUUACUUUUGUUGUUAGAGGUGGAAUUAUGUUUAUGUGACUAUCUUCUCUUGGUUUCUCCAUCUACGGUAAUUGACAGUUUUGCUGGAUAAGCAGCCAGCAUUUGUGUUCUCUUAGGGUCUGUAUGACAUCUGCCCAGUUCUAGCUUUCAUAGUCUCUGUUGAGAAGUCUGGUCUAAUUCUGAUAGCUCUGCCUUUCUAUGUUACUUGACCUUUUUCCCUUACUGCUUUUAAUAUUCUUUGUUUAAUGCAUUCGGUGUUUUGAUUAUUGUGAUGGGAGGGAUUUCUUUUCUGGUCCAAUCUAUUUGGAGUUCUGUAGGCUUCUUGUAAUGCUUAUGGGCAUCCCUUUCUUUAGGUUAGGGAAGUUUUCCUCUAUAUUUUUGUUGAAAAUAUUCACUGACCCCUUAAGUGGGAGUCUUCACUCUUUUCUAUACCUAUUAUCCUUAGAUUUGAUGUUCUCAUUGUGUCCUGGAUUUCCUGAAUGUUUUGGGUUAGGAUCUUUUUGUGUUUUGCAUUUUCUUAGACUGUUGUGUCAAUGUUUUUUAUGGUAUCAUCUGCCGCUGAGAUUCUCUCUUCUAGCUCUUGUAUUCUGUUGGAGAUGUUUGUAUCCAAGAGUCCUGAUCUCUUUCCUAGCAUUUUUAUCUCCAGGGUUGUCUCCCCUUAUGAUUUCUUUAUUGUUUCUAUUUCCAUUUUUAGAUCCUGGAUGGUUUUGUUCAAUUCCUUCACCUAUUUGGUUGUGUUUUACUGUAACUCUUUAAGGGAUUUUUGUGUUUCCUCUUUAAGGUCUUUUACCUACGUUGUCCUGUAUUUCUUUAACAGAGUUAUCUAUGUCCUUCUUGAAGUCCUCUAAUAUCAUCAUGAGAUGUGAUUUUAAAUCAGAAUCUUGCUUUUCCAGUGUGUUGGGGUAUCCAGGACUUGCUGUGGUGGGAGAACUGGGUUCUGAUGAUGCCAAAUGGCUUUGGUUUUUGUUGCUUAGGUUCUUGCACUUGCCUCACCAUCUGGUUAUCUCUUGUGUUAGCUGGUCUUGCUGCCUUUACAGUGGCUUGACCCUUCUGUAAGCCUGUGUGUCAGCAGUCCUGGGAGACCGGUUUUCUCCUGGCUGGAUCUGGGCACAGGGUCUGCUCCAGGCACAGGAAACCAGAAGGAUCCUGCCCCAGACUGCUCCUCGGUUCCCACAUCCUGAGGGCUCUAGGUGGUUCCCCCGGAGCAAAAGUGGUAGCCUUACUUGUGCUCUCAGGUGUAUCAGUACUCUUGGGAGAUCAGCUCUCUCCCUGCAGGAUCUGGGCAGACAAGACAGCAGUUCUUCUUACGUGUCCUAAGGACUAAGAAUGAGGCCAAGGGUCUCUGACCUUGAGAAACACUAGUCCAUUCAUUCAACAGCAAUAGAUAUAUAAAAUAUUCUCCUAACCUGGCAACUCUCUGGCAACACUGAGUUCAACCCCUGGGACCAGCAAAUUUGGAAGGAGAAAGUCAAUUUCACAAAAUACACACUGACACAGAUUCCUGUAUACAUACAUCUCACUCACAUACUCAUGUUAAAUUUAAAAUUGAGGAUGAAUCACUUUCAUGACUUGAUUUUUACAUUUAUUUAUCCAGGGAGAGACAGAUGGGUGGGGAGAGGAGGAAAAAAGAGAGGAGGGAGGAGAAUGGAUAGGAAUAUGCAGGCAGGUAUGUGCAUGCCCUGGCACAGGGGAAAGAGCAGCUUGUGGGAGUCAGUCCUCUCCUUCCACCACGUGGGUGACGGGGAUCAAACUCAGACAUUUAGGCUUUCCCUAUGUUAUGUUUGAUGUUUGAGCUGCCCCUGCUGACAGUACUGCUUUGGGCAUGGGCUUUGAAGACUCCAUCUGGUCCCAGUUUUGGCAAACUAAGCUUUCUGGCUCACUGAGGUACUAGCAAGCCAACCCCUAUCCCUGCCUUUCUGGUCAAAAGCAGCUUCUGUCACCAUGGAGUCUACCAUGCCAUCACCCAGACAGAUCCUCUUCUCUAGGUUGUUCUACCAGGUGUUUCCUCACAGCAACUAGGAAAGUAACCAAUGAAUUCCAUCUCUGCCACAGCACCCUCCUACCCUAUGACCUAACUGUGCUCACCUUCUUAGUCUUAACUGUUCUUUUUCACCAAUGUGUACCUUUCAUGGUCACAUGCUCUGUUAUGUUAAGCCAAACUGUGAAGCACCUGACCCUAUUUCAAUUCAAUCAAACUCCAUCAAGUUUCCAGAGAAGGAAUUCCUAACAGACUAACUGAUCACAUCCUGUCACGACGAGGUCAGCAAUGUCCUACCUCUAUUUAGGACAACAUCCACUGGGAGAAUGGGUGGAAGCACCCAGACAGCAGUGGCCAGGGCAUAUUCACCCUGGCUUCAGCUGUCACCAGGCUGAACUGUUCCUUUAAUGGAGCUGCCUGUUGCUGGUGACAGAGCCAUGGGCACGUCAACUGUGCAUAUCUGUCAAAAUCAUCACUAAGACAUAAGAAGACAAGCCAACAUUCUAAUAGUCAACUGCUGGUUAGUCCUGAUAACCUAUCAAUAAGCCAUGGCUGGCUCAAAGCCCUGGAAUGACAUAACCAACCACUUUCUAUACUGAUCAUAACAGUCCAUCCAUAGUUGCAUAAAACAUCAUUUCUUCCUAAUGAAGAAUGUUGUCAUCAAAAGAAAGCCAAUGCAAAGAGAGAUCUUGGGCUUCUCAUGUCUCGGCUAAAAAAAUAAGUUAGAAUUAUUUUUACAGGCUCUUCACUGUUAAAAUAAACUAGCUGUUUUCCCUCCCAGCCACUUGGUUCCCAUCAGCAAUGACUCUGAGACUAAUUAUUAUUAAAUGUCUAGGCUAUAAGCUUUGGCUCAUUCCCUGACUAGCUCUUAACUUAUUUAAACAUUUAAUCUAUUCUAUGUCUACCACUUGAUUGGCUGCCUCUCCUUCAGUCCCACCUCAUUUCUUCCUUCUUGUAUCCUCAAUGUCUGGUGGAGCUCCUCUACCUGAUGGUUUACAUAAGUCUCCUCUGCUCAUCUCCCAUCUCAUCUCCCUCCCUCCUAUUUCCUGCCUCAGUUCAUUGACCGCUGGCUUUUUUAUUGACAGGUGAUGCUUAGACUCUCUGUACACCUCAUCACUAGUAAGGCAACUUCCAUAACUCCACACAAGGGCAUGUGCUGGUUGAAACCAGUAUUUCCCUGACCUGGGCCCUCCCUUGGUUAGCUGCUCAAGUCUGAGUUAAGUAUACAACUGCUGUGAGAGGGCCAGGUAGGAGAAGACAGGAGAAGCUGAUUGCCUUAUGAUGUAUUAGGGAGGCUUGAGUAUAGAACUUCAAUAGAAAUGUUGCAACUGAGUUCGUGUCACUACAUAUAUUAUUUUCUAUGCAUUUCUUGUUGUUAUUUGAUUGUUUUUGUGCAUGUGUGCACCAGUGCAUAUCUAAUAUCCACAGAAGUCAGAUGAGGGCAUAUAAUCCUCUGGGACUGGACUCGGAAACUGUUAUAAGCUACCACAUUAGUGCUAGAUAGACCUGGGUCUUCUCCAAAAGCAGCUAGUGCUCUUAACUUUUGAGCCAACUCUCCAGCUCUCAUUUUCUAUGCUUUAAGAAAUAAGAAUUGGAAAAAAUGGUGAUUUAAGUUAUACAAUAUGCCUGAGCUGCCUUUAAAAAGUUCCUGCCACUGUGGGAAGAAGUUCCUUCAGCUCUCCCCUUCAAAACCCCCAUUACCCAUACCACUGUUCAAAUCAAAUUAAAGCAGAUAUAAGUCUAACUGUGAUGGUGGGGAUGGAAGGGGGCUUUCAAGUCAAAAAUGACAGCAUGCUGUGCCAUAGUCACAGUCGAAGACAUUUGGAAAAACAACUUCAUCUGCACUAAAUCUGCACAUGUUCUUCCUCCAUUAUCCCCUAAACAACACCCACGGAGCCAGCACUGACACUGUUAGAUGUUACAAUCUAGAGUUGAUUGACACACAAAGGAGCAUGUGCACAGGUUAUGUGGAAACACUGUUAUGGGACAUGAGGGACAAUGAUAUACAAAUGUGGGCACCCGUGGACAUGUUCCUGUUGAAGUUCAGCCAACAAAGUGCCAACUCAGACUGGUGAGGGAGCCUUGGGCAAAUGAAGCCCCAGCUUCUGCUACCCUCCAGCUUCUAACCUUUCCCACAGAAGACCCAGACCUGCCAUGUGGAAUGUGCCCUCUCCUCAUCCCUGACCAAGUCCCUAAGCAGAGACUGCUAUUUCACACUACUGAUGAGGAGCCAUGCUGUCUCAAGGGUGCAGCCCAGGCAGGAAGGCUUACUAAAGCAAGGGUUCAAGCUGUGGCUCAUGUGUGGCUAGGGAUAAGGUCCUUCAUGUAUCCCAGCCUGCCACCUGCCUCUGGCAGCUGCCACUAGGCUGCUGUGAGCACUCAUUUGGAGACCUCAGCACAUGAGUUCUCAAACACACCACUCAUCACUGCCAACACGGGCCACAGUGCCUGACCCUCUUUUAUUCCCAUUGCCAGAAACCUGAAGGCUUUCUUCUUCCUUCCCACUGUUGUUCUUAAGGCUUAUUUAUUUAUUAAUUCUAGUUAUGCCAAAUUUUUACUUCUGUAUCAUUACUUCCUGGAUUCCUGAGAAAAAUCAAAGCCACUUUCAGAGUUAGAUACAAAUGAACAAAUCUGCCCACAGAGAAGUUGAAAUUUCUUCAGGGAAUCAGGUAUCAGGGAAGCCAUUGCACAGGACAGUGUCAGCAGUGCCCAAGCAAGGACUUCCACGCAGAAUAAAGAUGAAGUCCUGCAUAUGACUAAGGACAGGCAAACGCUGAUACACAGCAGCUCUCACAUCAGGGACUAGUGCUCCCAUCCACACAGCAGUAAGGAGAGCAGGAGCUCACAUUACAACUCCUGGAAGCUGCUGACACUUGAGAUGGGCUUAUAUGCACCCCAAACAAGUGAAGGAAUGUUUAAGAUGGAAUGAUUCAUAAUAAGAAAGAAAAUCUGGCAACAAUCCAAAAUCUAUCAAUAAUAGUCUUAGUUAGGGUUUUACUGCUGUGAACAGACACCAUAUCCAAGCCAACUCUAACAUUUAGUCGGGGCUGGCUCACAGGUUCAGAGGUUUAGUCCAUUAUCAUCAUGGCAGGAAGCAUGGCAGCGUCCAGGCAAGCAUGGAGCUGGAGGAGCUGAGAGUUCUACCUGUUGUUCUGAAGGCACCCAAGAUGAGGGUCUUAAACCCACCCACACCCAAAAUGACACACUUCCUCCAAGGCCAAACCUACUCCAUCAAGGUUCCACCUCCUAAUAGUGCCACUCCCUGGGCCAAGCAUAUACAAAUUACCACAAAUAGAAUGAGUAAAUAAUCAUUUUUUGGUAGUUCCAGGGGUCAAACCCAGAGUUUUGUGCACAUAGGCAAGCACCCUACCUCUGACCUACACUCUCCUACGUAUGAUGGUAGACAUAGACAAUGGAGUGUAUUACAGAAACGAAUGUAUUAGCACACAUAGAAUUAAGAAUAAAAAGACACAAAACUCUAUGUACCAUAUGGUUCUAUUUCUAUUAAGUUUGAAACCCACAAAACUUAUUUACGAUUCUACAGUCAAGAUGGUGCUUGUGGAAAAGAGCCGAGGGCACUUGAUGACAGGAAGACCAAGAAGGGUGUGCUGUCAAAAGGUGGACAAAAGGUGGACAAGAAUUUGUGAUUCUUUAUCAAGUGUGAACUUAGGAUCUGUAUCAUUUCUAGGAUGUAUUAUGUUAUGUUCAAUUAAAAAGUUGAUUUAAGACAUUUGGAAGCAAGAGGAGGAAAGAUGGGGAGAGAAGCAGAGGGAAAGAAAGAGUGAGGGAGGAGAGGGAGAUAGAGAUAAGGAAAUUAAGCAAAGGGUCUAGAGAUGGUUCACAGUUAAAAGCACUGGAUGUUCUUCCAUAAGCCUGAGUUUAAUUCUCAGCACCCUGUGGCUGGUCAAACCUUUGAAAUUCUAGGCCCAGGGGAUCGGACUCCCUAUACUGGCCUCCAUGGGCACUGAACAUAUAUGGUACACAGACAUAAAUGUAGGCAAAACAUCCAUGAGAGAGAGAGAGAGAGAGAGAGAGAGAGAGAGAAAGAAACACCUAACAAUCAAACUUAGUGUUUAGAUCUUUUAAGGGUUUUGGUUAGGAGCAAACUAAUGUUUAUGGGGGAAAAAAAUCUGCCUUUUUUUUUUUUUUUUAAGGGUAGCAUACAAUUUAGCAUAUAUAUUUUAGCAGUUCUUUUAUUUUAUUUUAUUUUUUCCAUGUGGAGAGGUUUAAUGAAAGGACUAAACAAGGGAGAGGGAUGAGAGAAAGAAAAUAAGGAGUAGAAGAGGAGAGGAGUAGAGGCUGGCCAUGAGCACGUGGAGAGAAGUGGGAGGGGAAUGGGGAGAGAAGGGACGGGGGAAGAAAGCAAGAGUGAACAAGAGCAAGCAAGCAUAUCUUUUAAAAACUGACAUGUAUUUAUUUUCAAUAAAAGUCACAUAGCAAAGCAGAGCCACUUUAUAAAUGAGCAGAACUGGGCGUAUCAAAAGCUGUCAGCCUUUCCUGAGCAUACACUGUGUUAGGCAGGGCUCAGAAUCCAGCCCAAACCGUGUUAAGUGGGAGGAUUCAGACUGAAGCCCAGGACUAACUGCUGGCACAGGCAGAGCCCACAUAUGACAGGUACCUGCCAGAUCAUGCAGGCAGGCUAAGACAGGCUGGAACCACAGUAGAGAGAGGCCAAAAGCAAGCAGAUGUUGUCAUGGCAGAAAAGCCUUUACACCAGUGGCUGCUCCAACACAUGGAGAACCUCCUGUGCAAAAAGGCAUUCUUGCUCUAUGUGAAUUUAUUACAUUUUUCUUAAGAGAAAAUAAAGUAAUAAUCAGAAAUGUAUACACUGUAGACUUGAGGACAAGUCCAAACACUGUAAUAAAGGGAACUAGAUUGCUUAUGAAAUAAGUCAGAAAGGACUACUGUGAUCCUCACUAGAACCACAUACCUAAAAGUGUGCUUACCAGCUCAGGGAGCCACAGAUUAUACCAAUGGAGAUAAAGUCCUGACACAAUAUUUUGAGUACAUAAACCCAUGGGGCAGGACAGGGCAUGCACUGAAACAAAGAACUGACAGUUCAGAGAACAGUGGCAAGGACAGAAAGCAAGACUAAGGAAACAUAAGAAGGCAUUAGGAUAGCUGUGACUCCCCUUUAAGUCUCUAUUUUAAGCAAGCACAGCAUCCUGAAGAUGCCAACGGCAGUAACUGUGAGCCUAGUCUAUUCAGGAGAAAGCCUCCUCUACAGAGUCAGGCAGAAGAGGCUCAGACUCUGCGUUUUGCACUAUCUGGUCUGUGUAUAUAUAAUGAGACUUAAAUCCAAACAAAACUACUUAUGUUUCAUAUACACCUUAUAUGCAUAGCCAAGGGUGCUUUUGUUUGGUUUUUGAGUUUUCCUGUUUUGGUUGAGACGUGUAGUUAUGAAUAGUCUACUUGUUCCAUCAGGCUAUGACAACUCAGGGGAUUUUAGGUCUUGCCCUGUCCUGCAGAUCAGGACCUAGAACUGGUGUCUGAGACUGACUGUAAGCUUAUCCCUGAGGCCCGUGACAGCAGAGAUGAUGCCUUUUCUGUUAGGAACACAGUCCAAGGACCGAGUAAAGCACCUGCAGCAUGUUUCUCAAUGAACGAACCUAAUUCUGGACCCAGAGAUGUUCCUCCCCAAACUGUGUAUCUGGAAGGCCUCCUAUUACAUUCAAGAAUGAAGGCACUGAGGCUUCAAGGCAAGCUUUCUGCUGAAAGGAGAGCCUGGGCCUGUCUUUACCAGGCUCUUGAAAGUGUUCCUGUGACCACAUGCUCAUCCCAGCUACCAGGCCUCACUUAGAAUGCAUAGCACUGAGACCGUAAGUAAUGAAUGGCCAUCGUGUUCUGGUAAUAAAUCUUCCCUACCUUAAAAAUAGAGACAUAAGGCAAAGCCAAAUGUCUCCCAGAGCUUCGGAACCAGCUGAAAACACACACACACACACACACACACACACACACACACACACACACACACACACACACACCCAGAAACAAAGAGAAAGCAUGCGUGUACAAGCACAUUACAUUUUAGAACCUCAUUAAAAAUUAUUUUUUAAUGUAUAUGGGUGUUUUGUCUUUAGGUAUGUCUGUUCAUCAUGUGCUUGCUGCUCAACCAGGGUUUUAGAAAUCUCAGAACUGGAGUUAUUGAUGGUUCUGAGUGGUCAUGUGGAUGCUGGGAACUGAACUUGAGUCGUCUGGAAGAGCAGCCAGUGUUAAUCACUGAGCCAAUUCCCCAGUCUAAGAACCAAGUUUGUCAGGUUUUCAUUUGAUUUCAGCCUCUUAAGCUGGGUCAUGACCCCAUAUGGGGCUGGAUUACUAAUGUAAAUACUGUGGCAGCAGCAAUGGGUUUCUGAGCACAGGACAAUGAACUAGUCAUUCGAGCCUGUAAGGAACCUGAGCUGUUCUAACAGGCUUCCUCGAGGCCUUAGCUCUCUAUACACAUGCACACCCUGCCCUAGUGAAAUCAGGAAGUGCCAAUGAAUGCAGUUGAUACAUAGACGACAGCCGAGCGAGACCUGAGACUACAUGAUGUUAGGAAUGCGGCGCUUUUUUCUGUACCUGCAAAGCUUUCUGCUCUUAUAGACAUAUACAGUUUUAUUACAGAAACUAAAACUUUAUUUUUCUUUUUGAGAUAUGGCUUCAUGUAGCCCAUGCUGGCUGCAAACCGCACUUCGAGCCAGGGAUUAUGACCUUGACUUCUGACCCGCUGACCUCUAACUUUCAAGUACCACCGCUCUGUCCAUGCCACCACGCCCAGUUUAUACAACAAUAAGGACUGAACAGGACUUCAUACUUGCAAGGGCAGCAAACAACACACUGAGCUACAUCCCCAGUCCCAGUAUAUAAUUAUCAAAUUCUUGUAUUUUUAGACUGAGCUGUGCUAAAUGAACGAUUUUAAAAAUGCUGCUUUAGAAACGGACUUGAGUUACAUAAAAAACAAAAACAAAAAACAAACAAACAAAAAAACGACUUCAAUGAAUUUUGGCUUGGGAUAUAGAAAGAAUUUCCCAAAGUUUCUGCAAUGGUCCAAAUAUACUUGUGCUAUUUAUACUAAGUAUUCAUGUGAAAUAAUGUUCUCAACUUUGAGGAUUAUAGAAUGGAAUGUUGGUCCACUGUGAAAAUGCUGAAGAAGGCCUACCGUCUUCAGUUUCAACUGCUCAACGAAGGUACAAUUCUUUAUGUAAAGUAAAUAAGUACAUCUCAUUAAUACUGCUUCUGUCUUUAAUAAAUGGUAAAAUACUCAAGUACCAAAUGAUGUUUAGUGUAAGUUUCCUUGUGACUAUCAGCAUAUGUUUGAUGUAUGCCUAUUUAUCUGCCUAUGUGGAGCUGUGUAAAAUGUCUCAGAUAAAAAGAGGUCAUGAGUAGAGAAAGGUAAAACCGUGAUGUGGAUUAAUGGAGCAACUUGCAGAGACUCAUGUGCGCCACACCUGAAGUGGUUAAACCAGGGGGAAAACUGUUCUGCUAUGGGGCUUGUGCUCCUAGCCUACGGACAGAGCCUGACAUGUCUUCAUGAUGAGUGGACAGACUCUGAAAAUGCUCACACUGUUAUUGUAAGUAGUGUUUUACCCUUGGGUGGUCAAGUUUAUUAAACAGUAGUCACUGCUUAGCAGCUGGUUGUCUGGCCAAGAAUACACCUUAUUUUCUCUAAAUACAUAUGAGACACAAGUUGCCUUUGUGACAAAACUGUAUCAAACAAUACUGUUCAAACUACAGAAAACACCCUUUUCACAGAAGUAUUUAUGGCCUUCAUGCCUUUGCUGGCAUAUGCAGAAUCCAACCUUUACAUCACGGUAACAAGUUCUGCAGCACCAGUAACUGCUGUGAUAAUCUAUACUCAAGGGAAAGGAGAGCAUAAAACCCGUGGACAGAGAUAUCUUCCAGCAUCUCCACUGUCCCAAAAUGUCUGCUCAACUGAGGCUCAUGCUUAGUGUUUCUCAACAAACUUAAAUGAGAUUUAAAAAACCAGUAUGUGACCAUUUCUAAGUUUUUAACAUGUGUUUCAACUAUACAUUUCAAACUAUUUCUAAAGUAUUCCUUUAUCAUAAAAUAUUUCAAUAUAAGCAUUAGAAUGCUGGAGUCAUUCACACUUACCUGUAUGGCUUAUCUGAGUUAUGGAUUCGUCUGUGGUUCCUGACACCGACAUAUGUUGUACUUGUGUAAUCACACACAUCACACCUAUACUGUUUCUGGGUUGAAGACUUGUUCCCUUCAAGGAAAGAGAUUUAGAGGCACGAUUUGGUAAGACUCACAUGGGCGCAUUCACACCUCAUCAUGUACAAGUAAUUAUGAUACUAAGUGCCAAAGUUUUGAUCAAGGCUCUCUCACAGCAUAAUUAACACAUUUUAAGCAGUUUCCUAGAUUUUCUUGCACUCAGACCAUCAGUAAGCAUGAACUCAACACCGCAUCAUCUGACCUGUAAACAUGGGCAGGUUGGGCUGGUUCUGUGUAACCAUGUUCCAGGUUUUAGGUAGAAUGGACUUGCCCUCAGCUGUUGUGCUGACUGCUAAUUUAGUAGCUAAAUUAACCAAGAUACACUGUGAACUUGAAAGGUGUUAUUUUAAUCAAUAAUGGUCACAGUGUCUUAAACAUUUAUUUGACAACAAGCUAAAAUACUAAAGUAUUAUCAAUUAUUGUUAGAGGCUGGAGAGAUAGCUCAGUAGCCAAAAGCACUGGCCGGUUUUGCAAGAGACCCAGGUUUUGUUCCAAGUACCUACACGGUGGCUCUCACCUGUCUAUGACCUGAGUUCUAGGGAUCCAUGGCUUUUUCUUGCUUCUAUGGGCACUGCACUCAUGUAGUACACAUACAUACAUUCAUAGAGCAAAACAGUGAUCUACACACAAUAAAAAUAAACUGUGGCCAUGAGUCAUACACAGCAAGCUACAAACAAAAACUCCGAGGAUUUUACCACGUAGGUUUGCUUGGUUUACUGGUUAAUGUCAGCCAUUAGUUAAACUAAGGAGAAAGAAAUCGCCAACUCUGAAGAGCUCUACAAUUCAGCAUACUCACACUUAAUGGGGCGAUGGGUUGGUGGGGGAGAGAGAAAGACUGAAUACAUUGCUUCCCUCAUGUGCAGUAAACCGGAGUCCAGUGAUACAGGCCCCACUACUAGCUCAUUCUGCAAAUGAGGGCUCCAUCAUAAGCAGUGACCCUGGACGACAGCCUGUGCUUUGUGUGCGGGUUCCCAGAGCACCCUCACC